CCGCCGCAGAUGAUCUGAAAAACAAACAAGCUGGGCCCGUAUUCAUAAAGAUUCUAACAGUCCUCUCAGAAAACUCUUAAUUUAGCUUAAAAACUUUUACGUAGGAGUCUUAGCUUAAGAGCGAUUCAGGACCAAUCUGAGAGCAACUCUGAAUAAGGAAAAGACAAAAACUUUCAUCUUAGUGAGGAGGCGGGGUUGACCCUGUUGCUAUGUAUGACACAAUCUUUUGAAGACUGAUUGGUUGGUUGUCCAAGAAGGAAAAAAAGAGUCAUAUUAAGUAUAGGGUCUAUUCUAAUUCUCACUUUGAAUUUACAUGCGUAUUUUUUCCUAUUUGACCAUUCUCUCUCACACAAACACAUUAUAUGUGUGUAUAUAAAUCCUUUUUUUUAUUUACUAUGCUUGUAAUUUCCUAUAAGGUAUUUGAUUGGCUUAGAAUGAUAAAAAUUGUUCCAGUCUUUCCAAUUACAGUGAUUGCUGUCCUAUUUAAGUGGCGGUUUGAAUGUUGGUUUUUAAUGUAUCAAACAUGGAAUCAAAACCAAGAAGGGCGAGAAAGCCAAACUGGACAGAGGAACAGUGUUUACUGUUAGCCCAGUUAGUGGAUGAACACAAGGCCAUUCUUAAAGGAAAAUUUGGGCCGGGUGUCACAGCAAGGGACAAGAAGCAGACAUGGGAGCGUGUAGCACAAACUAUUAACGGUUCAUUCCCCCUGCCUGUGUGCACCAGUGAAGACUGCGAGAAACGCUGGUAUGUGUUGCAAUAAAAAGCCAGAGAGGAAAUUGCAGCACACAAGCGGGAGUCAUCACGCACAGGGGGGGUUACCAGCUAAACAGCUGUCCCAAGUAGCCAAAACCGUGUUCAACAUCUUAGGUCACUCAGAAACAAGUAUUACCGGUUUGAAGGAGGGCACAGACAGCUCAAUGAUUCAGCUGGAGGAACUACAAAAAUGUAGCACAGAGUCUUCAGCAGAGGAAUGGGGACCGUUGACAUCACAGAUGCGCACCCUCAGCCCGAAGCGCCUCAUUCCCUGCCUUCUGCUCCCACCGCAGCUGCUCCAACACCAUCCCUAGUAGACAAAAAAACUGGAGAUGGAGAUUGAUGUCCUAAAGCAGCAGAAAAUAGUACUCCAUCUACAAGAGGAGUACUACAAGCUAAAAAUUGAGCUACUCAAAAAUAAAACUAAUAACGAAUAAUGUU
This 1194-nucleotide long non-coding RNA is filed under the name Carassius auratus (goldfish). Its description in RNAcentral is "lncRNA (ENSCARG00000020889.1)". The record is from RNAcentral. Lineage: Eukaryota; Metazoa; Chordata; Actinopteri; Cypriniformes; Cyprinidae.